UUUCCCAGUUGGUGUAUAAUUUCAAGUAUAUCUCCAACAGGUCCAUAGGAGAAAGUUAGCACAGGAUGCAUAGCAUGGAGCAGUGUGACUGUCUUGACACUGACAGUACAAAUUUCAAGAUAUAUGCUUCCUACAGAAAAAGAUGGGAGUAGAAACAAAUGUAAUAACAUAACAGUAGUGGUUUGGGUGAUUUAUAAGUGGACCCAAACUACUCAACAUUGCCAUCAACAAAGGUGCUGGCAUGGCCGUGUCAUGCACCUGUGCAUAAACAAGACAGAAAGUUUUAGCCAUAGUUGGCUCAACCCUAUUUUUGUGGUAUGAAUACAUAUCAAACAGCCACAACGGAAACAGGAUGGUGAGGACAUGCUCUGAAGAUUAGUUUUAGGUAUUAGAGUACCACAAGGCCUUGAGAACGAAAGAAAGUGGCAGAUUCAUGAGAGUUGGAGUGUUAUCUGUUUAUUCCUUCCUUUUGGUCUUAUUUUCUUUCAUACUAUGAUGUGUGACUUUCCUACGA
Salvia splendens (bonfire salvia) is the source of this 514-nucleotide long non-coding RNA. RefSeq lists it as uncharacterized. NCBI's taxonomy places the organism in Eukaryota, Viridiplantae, Streptophyta, Magnoliopsida, Lamiales, Lamiaceae. The transcript has 2 exons. The record is from RefSeq and is a predicted model, not a curated record.